AUACGGAGGGUGCAAGCGUUAAUCGGAAUUACUGGGCGUAAAGCGCGCGUAGGCGGUUUGAUAAGUCGGAUGUGAAAUCCCCGGGCUCAACCUGGGAAUUGCAUUCGAUACUGUCAGGCUAGAGUGUGGUAGAGGGAAGUGGAAUUUCCGGUGUAGCGGUGAAAUGCGUAGAUAUCGGAAGGAACACCAGUGGCGAAGGCGGCUUCCUGGACCAACACUGACGCUGAGGUGCGAAAGCGUGGGGAGCAAACGGGAUUAGAAACCCUAGUAGCCC
This 274-nucleotide ribosomal RNA is filed under the name uncultured bacterium. Its description in RNAcentral is "partial 16S ribosomal RNA". It matches the Rfam family "Bacterial small subunit ribosomal RNA", at positions 523 to 796 of the family's 1533-position model. The record is from RNAcentral.